AGAAGUGCGAAUGCUGACAUAAGUAACGAUAAUGCGGGUGAAAAACCCGCACGCCGGAAGACCAAGGGUUCCUGUCCAACGUUAAUCGGGGCAGGGUGAGUCGACCCCUAAGGCGAGGCCGAAAGGCGUAGUCGAUGGGAAACAGGUUAAUAUUCCUGUACUUGGUGUUACUGCGAAGGGGGGACGGAGAAGGCUAUGUUAGCCGGGCGACGGUUGUCCCGGUUUAAGCAUGUAGGCGGAGGUUCCAGGUAAAUCCGGUACCUUUUUAACGCUGAGGUGUGAUGACGAGGCACUACGGUGCUGAAGUAACAAAUGCCCUGCUUCCAGGAAAAGCCUCUAAGCAUCAGGUAACACGAAAUCGUACCCCAAACCGACACAGGUGGUCAGGUAGAGAAUACCAAGGCGCUUGAGAGAACUCGGGUGAAGGAACUAGGCAAAAUGGUGCCGUAACUUCGGGAGAAGGCACGCUGAUAUGUAGGUGAAGUGAUUUACUCAUGGAGCUGAAAUCAGUCGAAGAUACCAGCUGGCUGCAACUGUUUAUUAAAAACACAGCACUGUGCAAACACGAAAGUGGACGUAUACGGUGUGACGCCUGCCCGGUGCCGGAAGGUUAAUUGAUGGGGUUAUCCGUAAGGAGAAGCUCUUGAUCGAAGCCCCGGUAAACGGCGGCCGUAACUAUAACGGUCCUAAGGUAGCGAAAUUCCUUGUCGGGUAAGUUCCGACCUGCACGAAUGGCGUAAUGAUGGCCAGGCUGUCUCCACCCGAGACUCAGUGAAAUUGAACUCGCUGUGAAGAUGCAGUGUACCCGCGGCAAGACGGAAAGACCCCGUGAACCUUUACUAUAGCUUGACACUGAACACUGGUCCUUGAUGUGUAGGAUAGGUGGGAGGCUUUGAAGUGUGGACGCCAGUCUGCAUGGAGCCAUCCUUGAAAUACCACCCUUUAAUGGCUGGUGUUCUAACGUGGACCCGUUACCCGGGUUGCGGACAGUGUCUGGUGGGUAGUUUGACUGGGGCGGUCUCCUCCUAAAGAGUAACGGAGGAGCACGAAGGUUAGCUAAUCCUGGUCGGACAUCAGGAGGUUAGUGCAAAGGCAUAAGCUAGCUUGACUGCGAGAGUGACGGCUCGAGCAGGUGCGAAAGCAGGUCUUAGUGAUCCGGUGGUUCUGAAUGGAAGGGCCAUCGCUCAACGGAUAAAAGGUACUCCGGGGAUAACAGGCUGAUACCGCCCAAGAGUUCAUAUCGACGGCGGUGUUUGGCACCUCGAUGUCGGCUCAUCACAUCCUGGGGCUGAAGUAGGUCCCAAGGGUAUGGCUGUUCGCCAUUUAAAGUGGUACGCGAGCUGGGUUUAGAACGUCGUGAGACAGUUCGGUCCCUAUCUGCCGUGGGCGCUGGAGAAUUGAGGGGGGCUGCUCCUAGUACGAGAGGACCGGAGUGGACGCAUCACUGGUGUUCGGGUUGUCAUGCCAAUGGCAUUGCCCGGUAGCUAAAUGCGGAAGAGAUAAGUGCUGAAAGCAUCUAAGCACGAAACUUGCCCCG
Molecule: ribosomal RNA, 1537 nt
Filed under: Citrobacter freundii
Lineage: Bacteria; Pseudomonadati; Pseudomonadota; Gammaproteobacteria; Enterobacterales; Enterobacteriaceae
Description: partial 23S ribosomal RNA
Rfam family: Bacterial large subunit ribosomal RNA
Source: RNAcentral